GGUAGCUUCCACAAAGAGCAAUUUACUGCCAAUGGAAUUAAAUGUGUGGCUAUAACAUCAAACAACCAGAAUUUAAGAAUUAUUAUAGAAUAGAAUAAAGUGAGGGUCUGAAGAAUUAUCAAUAAAGCAUGAUCCUUUCUAGGAGAUUAGAAAGAAUCCUGAUUUUUUGCUUCUUAUCAACAAUGUAGAACUUUCUUCUGGUUCUUUCCUUGUACAAGAGAACCCUGGGCUUUAGCUGAACACAUAGCUACCCAACUAAAGUGUCUUUUGCAGCUAGAAAUGGCCAUGUGAUCAAGUUUGGAGGAACUAGAGGGGUUGGCAAGUGAUGAGUGUGACUUUGGACCACCUCCUUGAAGAUGCACCUGCUUCCCAGGAUUUCUUUCCCACUUCCCACAGGCGGGAGAGUGGGCACCCAGGCUUUAGUCACAACCACCAAGAUGACCCUAUGGGGGAGGUGCCAAGGAGAGAAGAUGGACCUCUUGGAGAGGAGUAGCCACAUCUCCAGCUAUGGACUGCUGACAUAAGUACUAUUUAGAGAGAGAAAAAUAAACUAUCCUGUGUAAGUCAGCCCA
Pongo pygmaeus (Bornean orangutan) is the source of this 572-nucleotide long non-coding RNA. RefSeq lists it as uncharacterized. Lineage: Eukaryota; Metazoa; Chordata; Mammalia; Primates; Hominidae. The transcript has 4 exons. The record is from RefSeq and is a predicted model, not a curated record.